AAUUAGCUGAGCUCAAGCAAGAUUAUCUCAGCUCAAAUUCGAUUUGAAAUUAAUUUUGAGUCUAAAUUUAGGCUAAAGCUCGGCUUGAAAUUAAUUUGAGCUAAGCUCGAGGGAGCCUAAUUUCAAGUUGAGCGAGCGAGCUCCGGCUCUAAACGAGCCACUUGAAAUUCUCAACGUCCUAACGAUCAAUACACUACAACAGAAUUAAAUUAUAGGAACACAUGUUUGGGACACUUUUGUCUAAGUGUUCCAUUUAUGUCAAAAUUUUAAAAAAUAUCUACUAAUGUCUAAAUAUAAAGCCGAAUCCAACAAAAAAAAAAAAAAGAUUACUAUACUUUACCCACCCAACCCAGUCCAUUUGGCCCGAUUCCAAACUGAAAGGAAAAAAAAAAGAAAAAUCAAUUACCAUCUCCCCUUCUCCCCUCACUCAAUCCACUGAAAUCCUAGACGAAGGGGCCUUCCCUCUCGUCCUCCUCCGCCACCGCAGCCAACAAGAUAGAGUUCCGACAGUUGCUAGAUGCUUAAAUAAGAGUUGCUAAAUUAGCAGCACUUUUUUAGGUUAUAGUGACACUCUUUAACUGUCGCUAUAUACCUAGCGACCCCACAUAUAGCAACACCUUUUAAAAGUGUCGGUAAUUUAGCCAGCAGCACUUUUUUUGACCUAUACCGACAUUUAAAAGUGUCGCUAUAGACCGUUUUUGUUGUAGUGAUAAUUUAAUUUAUAUAUAACAUUAUCUACAAUUUGAUACAAAAAUAUAUCUAAUAGUUUAAAAUACAAAAUAAUUAUAUGAAAUACGGUAUCAUAAUAUGAAGAAAAAUAACUUAUCAGUUGAAUAUCUAAUCUUUUCAACCUCUCUUCCACCUUCAAUCUUCAUAUUAAUCCUUUUCAUCUAUGCAGUCAAAAAAUAAUAAAUAAUAUAGACAAAUAUUGGAUUAAACUAUCAAUCAUGUAUAACUAAAAUCAAAAUUUUGUAUAAAUAAUAAUUUUUUACCUUAAAAAUAUUUUGUAUAUAUAUUUUCUCAAGUACACAACUAAUAACAGGGUAGGCAAUGGCGGGCACGUGCUGUUACUUGGUAACUUAGGGUGCUUUGGGCUUGGCCGCUUGGGGAGAGAGAGAGAGAGAGAGAGAGAGAGAGAUAGAUUAGGGAUUUAUGGCUUUAUAAAAGAAAGAGUUCAAGAGAGAGUCUAAAUUUAGUGGAAUUUUAUCUUUUUGUUGACAUAUUGGGUUUGGUUUUAUGGGCCAGUAACAUUAGUCUAAUUUUAACUAAAUUCGGAUUACUUACUCAGCCUCU
RNAcentral lists this long non-coding RNA (1293 nucleotides) under Ananas comosus (pineapple). Its description in RNAcentral is "long non-coding RNA (ACOM_LNC012313)". Lineage: Eukaryota; Viridiplantae; Streptophyta; Magnoliopsida; Poales; Bromeliaceae. The record is from RNAcentral.